ACUAGUAGUUGAAGCUGCCAGCAUGAUCUAAACUUUUCUAGUUGCUCCGUUGAGGAAAGAUCAGAUCAUGUAGCAGCAUCACCUGUUGAUGGU
RNAcentral lists this microRNA precursor (93 nucleotides) under Nicotiana tabacum (common tobacco). RNAcentral describes it as "miR167e stem-loop (nta-MIR167e)". Its record names the gene nta-MIR167e. The record is from miRBase by way of RNAcentral. Lineage: Eukaryota; Viridiplantae; Streptophyta; Magnoliopsida; Solanales; Solanaceae.